This 547-nucleotide ribosomal RNA is filed under the name uncultured bacterium. RNAcentral's name for it is "bacterial SSU rRNA". It matches the Rfam family "Bacterial small subunit ribosomal RNA", at positions 355 to 894 of the family's 1533-position model. The record is from RNAcentral.
UAGGGANUCUUCGGCAAUGGGGGCAACCCUGACCGAGCAACGCCGCGUGAGUGAAGAAGGUUUUCGGAUCGUAAAGCUCUGUUGUAAGUCAAGAACGAGUGUGAGAGUGGAAAGUUCACACUGUGACGGUAGCUUACCAGAAAGGGACGGCUAACUACGUGCCAGCAGCCGCGGUAAUACGUAGGUCCCGAGCGUUGUCCGGAUUUAUUGGGCGUAAAGCGAGCGCAGGCGGUUUGAUAAGUCUGAAGUUAAAGGCUGUGGCUCAACCAUAGUUCGCUUUGGAAACUGUCAAACUUGAGUGCAGAAGGGGAGAGUGGAAUUCCAUGUGUAGCGGUGAAAUGCGUAGAUAUAUGGAGGAACACCGGUGGCGAAAGCGGCUCUCUGGUCUGUAACUGACGCUGAGGCUCGAAAGCGUGGGGAGCGAACAGGANUAGAUACCCUGGUAGUCCACGCCGUNNNGAUGAGUGCUAGGUGUUGGAUCCUUUCCGGGAUUCAGUGCCGCAGCUNACGCANUAANCACUCCGCCUGGGGAGUACNACCGCAAGGU